AAAAUGAGAACCCUUAAAGCUGCUAACUUUAAGAAUUGCAAUUAUGUAACAUUUUCU
This 57-nucleotide transfer RNA is filed under the name Capitulum mitella. RNAcentral's name for it is "tRNA-Ser". Lineage: Eukaryota; Metazoa; Arthropoda; Thecostraca; Pollicipedomorpha; Pollicipedidae. The record is from RNAcentral.